This 326-nucleotide ribosomal RNA is filed under the name uncultured bacterium. Its description in RNAcentral is "bacterial SSU rRNA". It matches the Rfam family "Bacterial small subunit ribosomal RNA", at positions 28 to 334 of the family's 1533-position model. The record is from RNAcentral.
GACGAACGCUGGCGGCGUGCUUAACACAUGCAAGUCGAACGGAGUGCCUAUGACAGAGGUUUCGGCUAAUUGAUUAGGUUGCUUAGUGGCGGACUGGUGAGUAACGCGUGAGGAACCUGCCUUAAAGAGGGGGACAACAGUUGGAAACGACUGCUAAUACCGCAUAAGCCCACGGCCCGGCAUCGGGUUGAGGGAAAAGGAUUUAUUCGCUUCAGGAUAGACUCGCGUCCAAUUAGCUAGUUGGUGAGGUAACGGCCCACCAAGGCGACGAUUGGUAGCCGGACUGAGAGGUUGAACGGCCACAUUGGGACUGAGACACGGCCCAG